Molecule: ribosomal RNA, 253 nt
Filed under: uncultured bacterium
Lineage: Bacteria
Description: partial 16S ribosomal RNA
Rfam family: Bacterial small subunit ribosomal RNA
Source: RNAcentral
UACAGAGGGUGCAAGCGUUAAUCGGAAUUACUGGGCGUAAAGGGCCUGUAGGUGGUCGACUAAGUCGGUUGUGAAAACCAUGGGCUCAACCUGUGGCUGUCAUCCGAGACUAGUCGACUAGAGUUGAGUAGAGGAGAGUGGAAUUUCCGGUGUAGCGGUGAAAUGCGUAGAUAUCGGAAGGAACACCAGUGGCGAAGGCGGCUCUCUGGACUCAAACUGACACUGAGGGGCGAAAGCAUGGGUAGCAAACAGG